GACGAACGCUGGCGGCGUGCUUAAUACAUGCAAGUCGAGCGAUGAAGACUGGUGAUUGUGCCAAUUUGGAGGGCCGCGAACGGGAGGGUAACGCAUGUGGCCUCUGCCUUUGAGCGGGGGACGACAUUGGGAGACGAAUGCUCAUACGGCAUAACACCUUUAGACAUAAGCUUUCAGGGUGAAAGAUGCGAUUGCAUAACUCAAUGAUGAUCCAGCGUCUUAUUAGGGAGGUGGUGAGGAAAAGGCCCACCAAGGUGAUGAUACAUAGCCGGCCUGAGAGGAUGAUCAGCCGCAUUGGGAAGGGGACGCGGCCCAAACGCCUACCUGAGGCAGCAGCAGGGAAUCUUCGGGAAGCGACGGAAGUCUGACCGAGCAACGCCGCGUGAGUGUAGAAGGUCUUCGGCUCGUAAAACUCGGUUGGUAGAGAAGAGCGUUCGUGUGAGUGGAAAGCACAUCAAGUGACGGUAACUGGCCAGAAAGCGACGGCUAACUACGUG
RNAcentral lists this ribosomal RNA (497 nucleotides) under uncultured bacterium. Its description in RNAcentral is "partial 16S ribosomal RNA". It matches the Rfam family "Bacterial small subunit ribosomal RNA", at positions 28 to 507 of the family's 1533-position model. The record is from RNAcentral.